Long non-coding RNA from Prinia subflava (tawny-flanked prinia), 4248 nucleotides. RefSeq lists it as uncharacterized. Lineage: Eukaryota; Metazoa; Chordata; Aves; Passeriformes; Cisticolidae. The transcript is spliced from 5 exons. The record is from RefSeq and is a predicted model, not a curated record.
AGGAGAGGGAGGGAGGGAAGGAGGGGGGCUGGCGCGGUGCCCCCGCUCUCAGCGCGGCAUGGCUGCGUGUGCCGGGGCGCCUGCAAAAGUUGCACUGGGGGUGAGAGAAAGGGAGAGAGAGACGGAGGGAGAGAGAGGGAGACGGAGACCGAGACGGAGAGGAGGAAAAAAAAAAGGAGGAAAAAAAAAAAAAAAAAACCAGCGAAGGGAGUUUGCAAAUAAUCAAGCGCCGAUGGCACCGAUCGCGGCUUCCCAGAAGGAGCGGGAGCGAGAGAGAGAAACCCUCUGCUGAGAUUAUGUGGGAUCUUGUUUAACAACACAUUUCAAUCAGGAGAAAAAAGGAACAGUCAACAGAAGUUGGUGAAACACUUCUGUCUCUCCCCCCCCCCCCUCUUUAUAGAAAAGAGAGGAAAGGAAAAAAAUAAAAAGGCAGCUGAUUGAAGCUUUGCAACUCACUGGCUGUGGGGAUCAUAUAAUUUGUGCUCGUGUUUUACAAUAGCAUGGAAAAUUCCUAUCUCUCCCCCUCUCCCCAAAUAAAUCUUCUAUUCCCUCAAGGCAUUUCACAAUCUGGUUCACUGACAAAAGUUCCAACUUAUCUUUUUUUUUUCGUUUCGCUUACUUGCAAUGUAAAUAUUUAGCGGAUGCAUUUAAAAUAAACAUACGUUGUUGCUUUUAGGAGUCAGGUUGUGUUUUUGUUUUGUUUUGUUUUGCUGUUUUAAAAAAGGAACCACAUCAAAGAAGUGUUUACUAACUGAGAUUGACAGCCUAUUCUCCCCCUCCCUCUCUUCCUCCCCCCCCCCCUUUUUUUUUUUUUUUAAUUUUAAAUCAUCCGUCUCUCCGGUUGAGCUCUUGCUGUAGGAGCACCAACCCGACGAGCAUCAUUUUUGUCGGUGCGUAGAGGAAAGCUGUAGGUGAAGCCACAGGAACCCCCUUUGCCUGACAGGAGCUUUACAAAGGAAGGUCAGUCACCAGGUACCCAUUACGCAGACAAGGGAAGCUGAGACUCGUGCAAAGCCUCUGGCAAAGGUGGAAACAAAACCUCGGGCUUAUCCUGCGUUAACAGCCGUCUGGAUCUGCCUGCCUGGAGCUCCUUACAGAUGAGCAGUCUGGGACUGGACCGGUGAAGAUAUAACUCCCUUUGUGCCUGCUGUUACUGCCGAUCCCUCAAAACUCUGCCUCUCGCUGCUGCUGGUGCCACUCAGACCUCCCCCACCUGAGCACUUGGUCGCAGCAGGGCUGAACCCCCGGCUACUCCCACUGAUGUCUCGAGGACGAGGCAAGAGGCUACUGAUGCCUCUGAUCCCAGCCUGCCUCCCUGCAGGGGGAGACACAAGAGGAGACGUGGAGAUGCGUUGGAGAAGAGCAGAGGACAAAACUGGAGCAGCAGGCAGCUACAGGAACCAGCUUCAUUUCUUGGCAUUGCAUUCUGCUGCAGCACGGCUCCAGGCAGAAGUUCAAGCUGCUUUCUGAAAGCAAACAGAGGUGCUCCUGGGAGCUGAAGGGGCACGAGUGCUGGAGUUCAGCAUUUGGGAGCAGAGAUCUUCAGAAGCACUGCUUCUGCUGCUGCCUCCUCUGCACAGCCAGCCUCAUGAAAACUUGAGUUUUCAAAGCACUUGUCAGAUACUGAACUGCAGGUUCCAGGCCUGCUGACCACCGUCUGUGAUGAGGAGACCCCCAGACCCUAGGAGACUCUCAGCCACUGCUCUGAUGGCAGGAGCUCUCCAACACCCUGGCAAAUGUGACCAGGAUCUGGCAGACAGGACAAAGUGAAAGACCUGCUGGGCUCUAAGGUACAAGGGGGGUGGGAAGGGCUCUGUGUAGAGGGGGAUCAGUGGAGUGCAGAUGCCAUGCCUCUGUUGUGUUUUGUGAACCUGAAAUAAACAGAGCUGUGGAAUUUAUCACACUGAAUUGAAAGGUGAGUUUCUCCCAUGUGCUGUGUGUAGGAUGCCUGUCUUCCUCUAGCUGAACUACAGAGAUUUGUAAAUCUAUUAUUGCUUCCAUGUACCCUCAUAGAAACUUGUGCUUUUGGUUUGGUGUGUAGAAAACUUUAUGUCCUAGGUCCACAUUCAGGUGUUUGUCCAAAUGUGAUUGGAUUACCAUUCAUUUAAGAUUGGUCAUAUUCCUUUUCCUCAGAUAAAACUGUCAUGCUAGAAGUUUUCCACCAUCCCCGUGUCUCUAGAGAGACUCUUGGAGAUUUGAAGGUGACUUUUCUGAAAAAUGGUCUCAGUAUAAUUCCAAAAAUACUUUAUAAUUUGGAGCCUGCUCCUCAACCUCCAGCAGAGAUCAAAGAGAUCCCAGAAAAAAUAUUAAGCACCAUGCAUUCCUAGGAACUGAGACUUUGGCUGUAAUGAGUCAGUCAACUACCCAUUUAUCAGCCAGAUAUAAACUGACUUAGGGCGUUUUGGAGCCAAAGGCUACUAGUACAAGGCUGCUGGUUUAGGCUUCGUUUUCGUUAAAAUGUUUGACUCCAAAGGAAGAUCUCUGUUUUCAAACAGUGUUUUUUAGACCUUCCUGUUAUUUUCACCUUCAAGCUUGCUCAGCCAGUUGGAUAUGAAAAACUUGUUCUUGCUUCCUAGUGGCAAGAUCAUGUGUUGAUGUUAUGUAUGGGGUGCUAAUUACUAUCUGUCAUUGUAUUUAUGGGGCUCCAUUUGCUACAGCACUGUGGUGCCAGGUACAAUAUUGAGAUAAGCAGGUAAGUUACUGAACGUGGACUCUGCUCUUCCCACCCUGGUGCUUGGCCCCUCUGAUUGGAGACUUCGUCCUCUUGCUCAUGCUCAGACACAGGGCACCUGAGAAAAAGUGAGGUUUGUGCUUUGCUGUGGAACAGCCCUGGUCUGUGAGCUCAGCCAGGCUGUGCCUGGAACCCUUGGCUCCAUCUGGGAUCACAUGCUGCCUCCAUCCCUCACGCUGGUGUGCGAUCCAAGGCACCAGCGCUGUGACUGGUGGCACUGGGAGCAGAGGCCACAGGGCCUGUGGCCUGCACACCAGCUGCUGAUGAACUCUUUUCCAUAGAAUGUUUUCCAAAAUCCAGCAAAAUGUGCCAGCUGGGAAAGCUGAAAUCAGUUGAGGUGCUGUUUCCCAGCCUAUGCAGGGUCACAGAAGGUGUCCCAGUCAGACUGCAUGGAAAGCUUUGAUGUCUUUGGAGAAAGAAACUGCCAUGAAGCUGGAGCCUGGCUGGGAUUAAUGGGAAGAAUUUCUUGUGGCUACUGGUACUAAAGACAGUUUGCUUCUCAAAGAAAUUCAACCCUUUAACCAGCUUGACAAAAGCUGUGGCCAGAGAGUCAGUCUCAGCCUGAAUCUGAGAAAAACACAUGCCUGGAACUCCAUUUCUACCACUACAGAGAAAUUAACAUGAACCCACAAGAAAGUGGAAAUGAGAUGAAAAAAUGCAGGUCACGGUAGCAGCUAGUUCUUAAAUGGGACAGGCAUAAAUUUCUUUAAUGUGGAUAUAGAAGGGAACGUAUUUUGUUUCUAUUAUUACUUGAUUGUGGGAGGCUAAAGGGAAAUUUUCUCACAAUCUCAAGAAAAAAAGUUUCAAAACUAGUUUUUAUAAUGUGAAAAUUAAAAAAUUAAAAAGGAAAUUGUGAUGGAGGAUAUGUGUAAAAUUUUUCCCCCUUCUUUUUGGUCAGCUCUGAUGUUUCUAAUUGAUGUCCAAGGAGAAAGCUUGAUGAUUUAGAGAUGAAGAAGAAAGGAAUCGCACCCUUGAAGUACAAGAUAAGCUGUGGUGCCUCGCAAAGAAGCUAAACCCUUCCCUGGGCCAGAUGGAAUCCAGAAGCCAUUCAAUGGAUUGAUCAGGGUGCAGAAGUCCUGCAGCUUCCCUUCAGUCCCAUGCAGAGCUGGGCUUUGUCUCAAAGCUGGAAGCCCCGGAGCAGUGUGGGUCCUCUGCAGUUCUGGCAGGACUCAGUGUCUGCCCCUACAUCAUGUGCUUCUUAUCUGGGAAGUCGUCUUCAUUUAGAAACCUUGUCCUGCAAUUGCACAGAGAUGGCUGUGGCAUGGUCCUGCAGAGAAGCUAAGAAGUCUUUAUGGGUACCUCCUGUCUGGACACUAAAACCUCCUGCAUCACACAUGUACUAUUAUUUCGUGUUACUUAGGACCUUUCCUUCUCUUCUUCACCUCAAGUAAAGGGGAACCUGUUGAUAUAUCCAUAAGUUUAAUACCUACUGGUCUUGGUAGAACUUCUCUUGCUCAUUGUACAUUAACAUUUUUGAUAUUUUUGUAUGCAUAUGCAAUUAAUAAAAAUUGGGCAAA